UACGAAGGGGGCUAGCGUUGCUCGGAAUCAUUGGGCGUAAAGCGCGUGUAGGCGGUCCGGUAAGUCCGCUGUGAAAGUCGGGGGCUCAACCCUCGAAUGCCGGUGGAUACUGUCGGGCUAGAGUGCGGAAGAGGCGAGUGGAAUUCCUGGUGUAGCGGUGAAAUGCGCAGAUAUCAGGAGGAACACCAAUUGCGAAGGCAGCUCGCUGGGACGUUACUGACGCUGAGACGCGAAAGCGUGGGGAGCAAACAGG
Molecule: ribosomal RNA, 253 nt
Filed under: uncultured bacterium
Lineage: Bacteria
Description: partial 16S ribosomal RNA
Rfam family: Bacterial small subunit ribosomal RNA
Source: RNAcentral